AGCUCUUCUCGCAGCGCGGACGGAGAGAGGAGGUUGCGGUGCACAAGCGGCUGCGGAGACCAGAGGCCACAGCCGAAUCGCGGGAAUUUGGCGCCUAUUUUUUGUUGGUUGGGUGUUCUCGUCUGUGAUUGGGCCCCCGCCCCGCGUGGGUGCGCCGGGCUGCGGCUGGCCGGCCGACCCUGGCAAGACGCCGGCGGCGCAGCACUCAGCCGGCCUUCCGGGGGAUGGGCCACCAGGAGCCUCCGCUGGCCCGACUGAGGGCCGGACGUGCGGCUUAUAUAAAAAGGUUACGUAAAGGGCUCAGCUGGCGCGAACACGUGGAGAGCCGCGGGAGCCCGGACGCCCAGCUGUCCCUCGAGAGCACUGCUGCCAUCACUCGUGCAGUAGCAGGCGCCGUCGCACGCCCGACUCGGGCCGCGGCCUCCCGCGCCGCUCCGUACCCGAGGCAGCCCUGUCCAGGGGCGGACCAUCCCCAACCGGGGGCCUUAGGAGGGAAACGCGCUGCCCGGAAGUGGAAGGGCGCCGGCCAGGUCACAAUCCAAGGUCCCGCUCUUCCGCGUCCCGGGGCCGGACGGAGGGAUGAGGCAGGGGGGUCCCGGGCAGCACCGUUGCUGCUCCCCCCGCCGCCCGCAGCCAUGGAAACGGGGGAGGAGGACGGCGCUCGCAGAGGUACACAAAGCCCCGAGCGGAAAAGGCGAAGCCCAGUGCCGCGGGCGCUCAGCGCGAAGCUGAGGCCGGCGGCGGCGGCCCAGGCCAUGGAUCCGGUGGCGGCCGAGGCCCCGGGCGAGGCCUACCUGGCGCGGCGGCGGCCAGAGGGCGGCGGCGGGUCGGCGCGGCCGCGCUACAGCCUGUUGGCGGAGAUCGGGCGCGGCAGCUACGGCGUGGUGUACGAGGCAGUGGCCGGGCGCAGCGGGGCCCGGGUGGCGGUCAAGAAGAUCCGCUGCGACGCCCCCGAGAACGUGGAGCUGGCGCUGGCCGAAUUCUGGGCCCUGACCAGCCUCAAGCGGCGCCACCAGAAUGUCGUGCAGUUUGAAGAGUGCGUCCUGCAGCGCAACGGGCUCGCCCAGCGCAUGAGCCACGGCAACAAGAGCUCGCAGCUUUACCUGCGCCUGGUGGAGACCUCGCUCAAAGGAGAAAGGAUCCUGGGUUAUGCUGAGGAACCCUGCUAUCUCUGGUUUGUCAUGGAGUUCUGUGAAGGUGGAGACCUGAAUCAGUAUGUCCUGUCCCGGAGGCCGGACCCAGCCACCAACAAGAGCUUCAUGCUGCAGCUCACAAGCGCCAUUGCCUUCCUGCACAAAAACCACAUCGUGCACAGGGACCUAAAGCCAGACAACAUCCUCAUCACAGAGCGGUCUGGCACCCCCAUCCUCAAGGUGGCAGACUUUGGACUAAGCAAGGUCUGUGCUGGUCUGGCCCCCCGAGGUAAAGAGGGCAAUCCAGACAACAAAAAUGUGAAUGUGAAUAAAUACUGGCUGUCCUCAGCCUGUGGCUCAGACUUCUACAUGGCCCCUGAAGUCUGGGAGGGACACUACACAGCCAAGGCUGACAUCUUUGCCCUGGGCAUUAUCAUCUGGGCAAUGAUAGAAAGAAUCACUUUCAUUGACUCUGAGACCAAGAAGGAGCUCCUGGGGACCUAUAUCAAACAGGGGACUGAGAUCGUCCCUGUUGGUGAGGCGCUGCUAGAAAACCCAAAGAUGGAGUUGCACAUCCCCCAGAAACGCAGGACUUCCAUGUCUGAGGGGAUCAAGCAGCUCUUGAAAGAUAUGUUAGCUGCUAACCCACAGGACCGGCCUGAUGCCUUUGAACUUGAAACCAGAAUGGACCAGGUCACAUGUGCUGCUUAAAAUUCAGGGCAAAGCAUCUUGGGUGUUUUUCAACUAGCUUUUGUUCUCCAGCCCGCUGAUGGCCUUAAUGGGAGCAGUUUGGUUCCUCAGCUUCCUCGGACAGACCAGACAACUGCUUGGCUGGCAGAGAAAGCUGCCAGAAGGCUGCUCACUGCCUGGUUGGCACCACAUCCCCUUUGUGCUCUGGACCCCAGACCCAUGCAGAAGAGGUACUUCAGCCAAGCCUUCCACAAGCCUUUUCUGAGUUGACCCUCGGGACCCACAGUCUCAUCGUGUCUCGCACAGAGUUCAGCAGAGGGCACAGGUGGUGGCUUGGCCGGUUGGUGAUCUCCUGACAGCCGGGUCUCCAGCAAUGUGAAGCUUUCGUUUGGGUUUUCCCCCUCCUCUUACUUUUGCUUUAUUUUUUAUUUUUUGUCCCCCUGCCUUUGUUUUUUUUUUUUUUUUUUUUUUUUUUUUUAAUUUAAAUGAUUAAGACUUCAGAAGAGCAGGAAGUUAUGCUGUGGACAGGCACCACUUUCUUUAAAGAAACUCAAUAUGGACAAAGCAUAUGUAUAAAUUUCAUUUUUAAUUUUUAUAAGGGGUUAGGGAGCUAUUUUGUUUUUGUCCUUUAUUUUCCCUGUCUUCUUUCUUUUACCCAUCUCUUAGUUCUGCUUAUAACACCUCACUUCCCCAGAGAAGGCCUACCCCUCCGUGGAGAAUCUGGGGACCUCUCCUGGAUCAGGGGGCAUGAGGACAGAAGCAGGCCUCUGUGCCGCCUCCCCACCAGGUGCAGGAACUGCUGGACUCCCUGGUGGGCUGCUGCUGGCUGGCCCUUCGGCCUUGGAGAUGAUCAGAGGCCAAGAACCACCGAGAAGGGGAAGACCAGAGCUUGGCCCGGAGAACUCAAGAAAGAAGAUCCCUGUUUGGAGUUUGUCUUUUUUAAGUGGUUGGAAACCCAGAGUCACACCAGGACUUACAGAGGGAAUUGUUUCCCUCUACUGCCCUUCAUAACCAGGGGUUCUGACAGGGGAGGGCCCGAAGGUGACCAUCUCUUACUCCCCGGUAAUUGAGCGGCCAGCCCACCCCAGCUCUACAGACCUACCUUUCUGUCAGUGAUCUUCCUCCCAGACGAUGAUUCCCUGGGAAAAAAUGUCGUGCCAAACCUCUGCCUAGGAUACAGCAGGGUCUUCAGCUGGCAUCUGUCACUCCUGUGACGUCAGCACCCACCACCUCCUGCCUCCGGGAUCAUCUUCCCAGAUGUGCCCGCCAGAUGUCCAGGGUGUCAGAGCCCCCUGAGACCCAGUUGUGACCAUUGCCAUAAGAACAGGGUGUCCUAAACUGGCUGUUAACUCCUCACAGUGCAGCGUGUGCCCUGUGAGCCAGGCCCCAGGCUGUCAUAUAUGGUGACAAUGCCAAGCGUCGUCUCCCUCCCCGCAGAGCCUUCCUGUUAGGUGCCCACCCUCAGUGUAAACGUGUCUAAGGGAAAGGAUGGACCUGGCUGAGCGGGUGGACCACAGCCAUCAGGUGACUGGGCUUGGUGGCCGUGACUCCCGACCCCACCUCCAGUGUCUGUCUGUGUAGCCUUUCUUCCAUUCUCCAUCCACACUCACACAGCCUCCCUCUUGGGCUUUCGAAGAGGCGUGUCCUCUCCCCUUGCCAGGAGGAGAGCUGUUCCUCUUGCCCCGUACCCAGGAGCCCCUUCAGCUGUUCCACAGGCUUCUCACCCCAGAACAGCAAGGCAAGGAAGGGAAAAGGAGUUCUUUUGUGUUUAUCUUUGUUGUUUUCUCUAACCAGCGUAGAAUGGAUAGGGGGAGAUGUUGGAGGGCAUUUAAGUUGGUAUGUGACCAAGGGGGGCUUCCCCCCAGAGCCACAGUCCUUCCACCCUGGGAGUCUGGAAGAGACCAGCACAGCAUCAGCCCAGAUUUGCAAACUCAGCAGUGUGUUUGCUCACAUUCUUUCCGCCUUUUCUCAAGGCUUCUUCCUCCUUCUGGGCAGAUGGCUGGCUGUGGUUAGCAGGGUCCGGCAAGGCGGCAGGUGGUGACCAGGCCCCUCACUCCCCUGGGGAUGCGCUGAGCUGCAGCUGGAAGAGCGCAGCCCCUAAUUGCAGUUGGUGCCCCUUCUCCGCCCCACCUCCCUGCCCUCCCCUGGGGGCAGCUGUCUGUCCACGAGCACAUGGGGAAGCAGUCCCUGGACUCGGCACCCCCACCUCUCCCUGGCCACAGCCCGCACUCUGAAAUCCUAGCAAGGGUUCACGUCUAACAGGAUAUUUACCUUUUGUUUAUCUUUCCCUUCUGCCCUCCCCAGAUGUCUUAGCUCUGAGUAAGGUCCCAGGUGGCCAUACCUUUUGGGCGAGGUGGGUGGCCUCGGUCAGGUAGCAGCGUCCACGUACCUUGGUCUUGCAGGACUCCCAGCCCAUCCUUGCUUGGUGGCAGGACCUCCUUCCCUAGCUCCUGAGGCCCAGCUUGUUAGCCCCAAGUGCCUGUCUCUCCCCCUCCCCUGCUCUCCACUUCGUCUGCCUCGGCACCCCGCAGCCAGUGGAAGGCAGCCCGAAGUCAAGGCUGGCUCUGCCUGGGUAGCUAGCUGUCUGUGGCUCAGCCACUCUGCAUCUCUUCUCGCUGGGGUCAGCCACCUGUCCCUUCCUGCCUUUUCACCUGGGUCUCGGGCCUGGCAGCUGCCCUGGGGCACAUCAUCUCAGCACCACCAAUUUGUUAGUCCUGUGCAAGUUGUAGAAAUCUCUAGUCCUUAAAAUAACUGUCGGUUGUUCUCUUGGGAUCUGUGGAAAGGAAAGUCUUCGGAGGGAGGAUCUGAGCUUCAUUCUCCCUCAGUGAGAGGAAUCAACAAGACAGAUCAUAGUGCCUUAUUCCAUUGCCCUCUCCGCCAGACCGUCUGGCUUAGUACAUGGCUUCUGUCUCCCUGUCUGUGUCCAUCUGUCCUUUAAACUCACUCCCCCACACACAUAGCCACGUGGGAGGAUGGCUUCCCCGCGACCUCCCCAUCCCUUCCUCAGCUGUAGCCAGCCAUGUGUCCCCACCCACCACAGGGCACAACUAGCAGCUUCGCCGAGGACAGAGCUGUGCUGUAGACGGGUGUGCGCUCUGCCCUCCUCCCCAGCAGAUCCCCACCUCUUCCCUCCAGCCAGGAGGAUGCACGUCUCUUUCUUCUAGGCCUUCAAGGCCAGCUCCAUCUGACACCCUCCUGGGCACAGGGACUAAGGCCGUGGACCUUAGCCUCCUCUCAUCCAGAGGCAAUGGGUCAAAAGUGGAAUUCUUUCCCCUAACCCGCUGUGAUUCGUGCCCCCAUGGCUGCCUUUCUGAGGGAGUGUAUUCAAUGUUUACUUAAGAAAUACCCUGUUUACAGCUGGAGGAGAAACUUGCCCGUUGCUGGGUGGAGAUUUGACUCUCUGUACGGCUCCUGGCCUCCUUUGUGGCACUGCCCAUGGUGACCCCAGAGCGAAUGAAGGCAGGGGGCCAGGGCUGGGGCACAGGCCCCACAACCCCUCUGCCCCUGACCCUGCGGUGCUAAGACCACUUGCCACCUUCCUCACAGCCUUCAUUCCCCGCCUCUCAUUCCCUUCUUCCAAGAUCUCUCUCCUUAACAUAUCAGUUAUUUCCUAGAAAACCAGUGUUUGGAGCAAUAAGAUUUUUUUUUUUUUUUUUGCUUGAGUCCUUUUCUAAAAAAAAGGAAAAGAGCAGACAUUGUGGGAAUCUUCUUUCUUUUCCUGCUGUUGCUGUUUACCUUUUUAGAAAACAGCUCUAACUUGGAUGGAUAUCUGGGUUUCAGCCUCAGGUUAUCCUUAGGAAGCUUGGAGAGGUAGGAUCAGGCCUCCACUCCCUAACUCUCUGCUCCUGCCGCCCAGGCUCCCAGCCCUGCCUACCAAAUGCGCGCCCACCUUUACUCCUCUGUGCCGACCUCUCCCUGCCUGUCUUGGCUCUGCCUCUAAGUGGGACUUUUAGGUUCUUGUCCCUUCCCCAUCCUGAGCCUGGGCAGGGGGCCCAGCCGCUGGAGUCUCCAAGACCUGGUAACCUGAGAAGAGCUGAGUUGUGCGGCUCCAGGCUCCAGACCCCUGGCUUGGGGCUGAGGCGCAGCCUUAGGGACAGUGUGGGCCAUUUCCGAUCCUGCCCUGCCAGGCUUCAGUGGCCAGGCCAUCUGGAGAGAAGGCACUGGGAGUGGAGCACCAGGAUGUGUCAUGAGGUUGGCUAAUGUCAGCACACAUAGUCAAGGGCUGAGUCCGCUGCCAGUGGCUCCCAGAGUCCCUAAGAUUAGGGGGUAAACAGGAAGGAGACCCCUGCAUCUUUUUCCCUGAGAGGCUUCAGGAGGAAGGGACAUUUUAAAGAAGUCUUUGUUCUCCCGGUGCCUCUUUCCAUCAGAGCAGGGAGGAUGUUGGAGUGAUUUACAUUCGUGUGGGGCCAGCUUGGGUGCAAGGGAGGUUUUAACCCAGGCACAAGGUUAGUUUCAAAGACUAGUUAAUCUAUUUUCUUUGUUUUCUUUUUUUUUUGCACAGAAGCUGGUAAUCUAGGACCUACGUGUGAACAACUUUAUAUAUGAAUAUUUUUUGUACUUGGUUUACUUGGGUUGGUAUGAUACAUUAUAUUUAAGUUCCUUGAACACUGUGGAUCCCCCUAAUGUGUAUGAAUGACUGAGGCUUUGUAAAUUAAGGGACGUUUGUGUGAAUAAAGUUAUUUGAUGGGGUCAAAGAAGCCAUAUGUGAUUUGAAAA
This is an RNA transcript of Bubalus bubalis (water buffalo), 6539 nucleotides long. It is a transcript of the gene named serine/threonine kinase 35, with no coding region annotated. The transcript is spliced from 5 exons. NCBI's taxonomy places the organism in Eukaryota, Metazoa, Chordata, Mammalia, Artiodactyla, Bovidae. The record is from RefSeq and is a predicted model, not a curated record.